Molecule: ribosomal RNA, 373 nt
Filed under: uncultured organism
Description: partial 16S ribosomal RNA
Rfam family: Bacterial small subunit ribosomal RNA
Source: RNAcentral
GUAGGUGGCAAGCGUUGUCCGGAAUUAUUGGGCGUAAAGCGCGCGCAGGCGGUCCUUUAAGUCUGAUGUGAAAGCCCACGGCUCAACUGUGGAGGGUCAUUGGAAACUGGGGGACUUGAGUACAGAAGAGGAAAGCGGAAUUCCAAGUGUAGCGGUGAAAUGCGUAGAGAUUUGGAGGAACACCAGUGGCGAAGGCGGCUUUCUGGUCUGUAACUGACGCUGAGGCGCGAAAGCGUGGGGAGCAAACAGGGAUUAGAUACCCUGGUAGUCCACGCCGUAAACGAUGAGUGCUAAGUGUUAGGGGGUUUCCCGCCCCUUAGUGCUGCAGCUAACGCAUUAAGCACUCCGCCUGGGGAGUACGGCCGCAAGGCUG